Molecule: ribosomal RNA, 500 nt
Filed under: uncultured bacterium
Lineage: Bacteria
Description: partial 16S ribosomal RNA
Rfam family: Bacterial small subunit ribosomal RNA
Source: RNAcentral
AUUGAACGCUGGCGGCAUGCCUUACACAUGCAAGUCGAACGGCAGCACGGGAGCAAUCCUGGUGGCGAAUGGCGAACGGGUGAGUAAUAUAUCGGAACGUGCCCAGUCGUGGGGGAUAACGUAGCGAAAGCUACGCUAAUACCGCAUACGAUCUAUGGAUGAAAGCGGGGGAUCGCAAGACCUCGCGCGAUUGGAGCGGCCGAUAGCAGAUUAGGUAGUGGGUGAGGUAAAGGCUCACCAAGCCGACGAUCUGUAGCAGGUCUGAGAGGACGACCAGCCACACUGGGACUGAGGCACGGCCCAGGCUCCUACGGGAGGCAGCAGUGGGGAAUUUUGGACAAUGGGCGCAAGCCUGAUCCAGCAAUGCCGCGUGCAGGAUGAAGGCCUUCGGGUUGUAAACUGCUUUUGUACGGAACGAAACGGCGAGCUCUAAUACAGUUUGCUAAUGACGGUACCGUAAGAAUAAGCACCGGCUAACUACGUGCCAGCAGCCGCAGUAA